This 287-nucleotide ribosomal RNA is filed under the name uncultured bacterium. RNAcentral's name for it is "partial 16S ribosomal RNA". It matches the Rfam family "Bacterial small subunit ribosomal RNA", at positions 198 to 507 of the family's 1533-position model. The record is from RNAcentral.
ACCGUAAGGCCUCGCGCGAUUGGAGCGGCCGAUGUCAGAUUAGGUAGCUGGUGGGUAAAGGCUCACCAAGCCAACGAUCUGUAGUUGGUCUGAGAGGACGACCAGCCACACUGGGACUGAGACACGGCCCAGACUCCUACGGGAGGCAGCAGUGGGGAAUAUUGGACAAUGGGCGCAAGCCUGAUCCAGCAAUGCCGCGUGGAUGAAGAAGGUCUUCGGAUUGUAAAGUCCUUUCGGCGGGGACGAUGAUGACGGUACCCGCAGAAGAAGCCCCGGCUAACUUCGUG